This is an RNA transcript of Mytilus californianus (California mussel), 6715 nucleotides long. RefSeq lists it as uncharacterized. The transcript is spliced from 8 exons. Lineage: Eukaryota; Metazoa; Mollusca; Bivalvia; Mytilida; Mytilidae. The record is from RefSeq and is a predicted model, not a curated record.
UAAUUAUUUUAAGGUGGAAAUCAACCGAGCAAUUACUUUUAUAAACAGAUGGUAUAUGUGCAUUAUAUUAAUAUGAAUUUUGUGGAUCAUAUCAACAUUCGUCUUAUACAUGUAUAUUAACAUUUCCAACCAUAGGAUCUGCACAAAAUGGAUAAAAUUUGUACUUGUGCCUUUGUGACGAAAAAUAACAGAAAAAAAUCAUUAUUUCUCUCAAUAUACCAGUCCUCAUGUAGAGUACAUCACGGUUUGUCGCUUAUCUCCUCUAAAAGAAGAUACACAUUAUCAAGAUAUGAUUUUGUAUAUACUAAGGUUUACAUUAGAAGGGUUUUGUUGUUCUGUUUAGGACAUAUUGGUUUAUAAACACGCCCUCAAACAUUUUAAUAUUUUUUCAUUUUUAAAAAUCUUUGGUCAUGAAGAUUGAUGCAUAAACACGCGUUGUACACACACAAAUCGGUAUCAAGUAUUCUGUGGCAGUUUUGUGAAUACGAUGCAAGUAACGGUAUCAACCAAACAGAGCUUUAUCUGCAGAGUCUGUUAUAUCAAUAUAACUUGGAUAGAUGAUCAGUAUGUCUGACUGCAAACCUGGGACAGUUGUGUUAGUCAGAUUGUCACUCUUCUUGCAUUUUAAAGACCUCUUUGUAGAUAUCGGAAGUAAAUUAUGAAUGCAUAAAAGCGUGCAUUCUACAAUAUAUCGCUUAUUGUAUAUGCUAAAAGAUGUAACCCGCGGGUUGGGGAUACUUAAAAUAUAUAUUUUUGAAUACAAUAGACAUCCUUAAUGGUUUUCUUAAUUUCAGUUUAAAUGAAGAUGCCAGUACAUAAAAUAUUCUUAUUAUCCAAACUACUUUCGUUAGUGUUUAUCAAAUACCUUUUAAUGAUUAUGUCAUCAUGAUUAUCGAAAUUGAUUUUCACCAUCCGUCUGUAAUAGUUUUGUCUAAGGUGCUGUGGGAGGGAAAGCAGACCCUGGACCACUAGUUGAGGGCAAUUAGGAAUACUGAAAUAGGUUGCUUUUUGUGAUGUCACACUCGAAGAAAAGAUAGCGGAUUGGGAUAAUGUUACGAAUUGAACAUAUCAUGCGUGACACAGAUGUUCCAUAACGGUCAACCAAAUCAUAAUGGAAAUUUUAUCAUUUUUAAGUAUACGCACCAUCAUCAGUACCAAUUUGACUGCACCAAAGUGUUUUGGUGUACUUAAUAUCUCUUCAGUGAUGCUCGAAGCAAAACUAUUUGAAAAUGUAAAACCUAUUUAAAUCAUUGAAGAAUUAAUAUAACUAAAGAGGACCAAACGUUUAGCGAAGCUGGACAAGAGAUUAUAGCUAUGCAUGAGGGGGAAGAUACAUUCCUUUACUGGACAAGAGAUUAUAGCUAUGAGGGAGUCACACUACUUUGCUGGUCAAGAGAUUAUAGCUAUGAGGGAGAUACAUUCCUUUGCUUGACAAUAGAUUAUAGCUAUGAGGGAGAAACAUUCCUUUGCUGGACAAGAGAUUAUAGCUUUGAGGGAGAAAUAUUCCUUUGCUGGACAAGAGAUUAUAGCUAGGGACGAGGGGGAGAUACAUUCCUUUGCUGGACAAGAUAUAAUAGCUACCCACGAGGGGGAGAUACAUUCCUUUGCUAUAGAAGAGAUUAUAGCUACCCACGAGGGGGGAGGUACAUUCCUUUGCUGGACAAGAUAUUACAGCUAUGCACGAGGGGGGAGAUACGUUCCUUUGCUGGACAAGAUAUUAUAGCUAUCCACGAGGGGGGAGAUACAUUCCUUUGCUGAACAAGAGUUUAUAGCUAUGCACGAGGGGGGGGGGGAGAUACAUUCCUUUGCUGGACAAGAAAAUAUAGCUAAGCACGAGGGGGAGAUACAUUCCUUUGCUGGACAAGAGAUUAUAGCUAUGGACGAGGGGGAGAUACAUUCCUUUGCUGAACAAUAGUUAAUAGCUAUGCACGAGGGGGGAGAAACAUUCCUUUGCUGGACAAGAGAUUAUGGCUAGGGACGAGGGGGAGAUACAUUCCUUUGCUGGACAAGAGAUUAUAGCUAUCCACGAGGGGGAGAAACAUUCCUUUGCUAUAGAAGAGAUUAUAGCUACCCUCGAGGGGGGAGGUACAUUCCUUUGCUGGACAAGAGAUUAUAGCUAUGCACGAGGGGGAGAUACAUUCCUUUGCUGAACAAGAGAUUAUAGCUAUCCACGAGGGGGAGAUACAUUCUUUUGCUGAACAAGAGUUUAUAGCUAUGCACGAGGGGGGAGAUACAUUCCUUUGCUGGACAAGAGAUUAUAGCUAUGCACGAGGGGGAGAUACAUUCCUUUGCUGGACAAGAGAUUAUAGCUAUCUACGAGGGGGGAGAUACAUUCCUUUGCUGGACAAGAGUUUAUAGCUAUGCACGAGGGGGGAGAUACAUUCCUUUGCUGGACAAGAGAUUAUAGCUAUCCACGAGGAGGGGGAGAUACAUUCCUUUGCUGGACAAGAGUUUAUAGCUAUGCACAAGGGGGGAGAUACAUUCCUUUGCUGGACAAGAGAUUAUAGCUUUGCACGAGGGGGGAGAUACAUUCCUUUGCUGGACAAGAGAUUAUAGCUAUCCACAAGGGGGAGAUACAUUCUUUUGCUGGACAAGAGAUUAUAGCUAUCAACGAGGGGGGAGAUACAUUCCUUUGCUGGACAAGAGAUUAUAGCUAUGCACGAGGGAGAAAAUACAUUCCUUUGCUGGACAAGAGAUUAUAGUUUUGCACGAUGGGGGGAGAUACAUUCCUUUGCUGGACAAGAGAUUAUAGCUAUGCACGAGGGGGGAUACAUUCCUUUGCUGGACAAGAGAUUAUAGCUAUGCACAAGGGGAGAUACAUUCUUUUGCUGGACAAGAGAUUAUAGCUAUGCACGAGGGGGGAUACAUUCCUUUGCUGGACAAGAGAUUAUAGCUAUGCACGAGAGGGAGAUACAUUCCUUUGCUGGACAAGAGAUUAUAGCUAUGCACGAGAGGGAGAUACAUUCCUUUGCUGGACAAGAGAUUAUAACAAAGAUUACUUUGAUGAUCAAAAUAUAAAAUGCACGAGUACGAAACAAUAAGUGGUACACAUGACAAUUAUAUGAUAAAACAUAUUUGAGAGUUUUUUGUUUACAUAACGAUAUUAGAAUGCCGAAAUUAACGACAUUGUGAACAGCGUGAAAACUUAUGUACUAAAAAAUAAAAAUGAACAUACCCAUAUGCCAUGUCAUAAAGAAAAGUGCUUCAUUCUUUGUCUAACUGUAAUUUAUAAUUAUGAAUAAAAUGUGCAUGUAUAUGACAAAUUUGUUUUCGUGAAGGAUGUAAAACCUUAGACGACACCAUUAAAGCUAUUAACACGUGUUGGAAGCAUCAAAGAACCAAUGCUCCUGAUUGUCAACGGCAUAUUAAUUUCAAGAACUGCCUGUACGAAAAGGCAAAGAUUUGUGAAGAAAUUAACAAAUUACUCCCAAGAUCAAUACAAUAUGCUGAGCGUGAAGUAAAAUGUACAACUACUACAUCCACAACGACAACACAGAUUCCACAAACGACAACACAGAUUCCAAUAACGACAUCACAGAUUCCAAUAACGACAACACAGAUUCCAUUUACGACUAUGAUUACGACAUCUGAAAUACCAGACACAACAAUUGCAAUGACAACUAAUAAAAAAAAUUUAAAGUUGACAACCGAAUCUCUGACUUUCACUUCUAACAUGAAAAGCAGUAAAGAGUUUACUACAAAAAGUGUUACGCAAAACACCAAUAUUCCAGUUUUUACCAGUGAAGUGAAAUCGUUUACAUCAUUGCAAAAGACAACUCCUACAACACACUCCAAUAAAUCGGGAAAUAAAGUAAAAGAGAGAACGAAAUUGUUUGAAACGACUUCUAAACAAAUCAAUACACACAAUGCAACAACAGGAAUUCCAUGGGAUAAUAAUUAUGAAGAAAUACGCCAUGUCAUCCUAAAUUGUUUGGUCCAUGUGAAGGACCAGUCAUCCCUUAAAGCCUCGCAUAUCAAUUUUGAAACUUGCAUGUCUGUCUUUAAGGUAUACUCUUGCUUGAAUACCAAUAUCAGCAUCGGGAAAGAUAUGCUUAUCUUAAAUGAGUUACUUCCGCAAAAUAUCUUUAACUUCACAGAAGAUGUGUUCGAGAAGUGUCAUCAGGUGAUAAACAAUUACCAUUCGUACAUUCAACGAGUAGAGGCAUCAUGUGGCAGACCCAAAGCGAAAAACAUUGGUUGUACUGGUCACAAUUAUGGCUUGCUGGACUGUAGCUCUAGUGCAGGCAGAAUGCGUGUCACUGGUUUUGUACAUGUAUUAACGUUACUGUAUAUUUUCAUGUAAUUUAGCACAAACAAUAUUUUACAUGUUCAAACAAUUGAAUUUUCAAAUAUGAUAUUUUUUGAAUUCAUCGUUAAAGAGGAAACUUAAUAUGUUGAAACAAUAUUAGAAUCCACAAUACACGAUCAGUUUGUAAGUGCAUAAACAAAGCAUUUCACCAGAAAUCAAAUGAAGAUCGAGAUAGUUAAAUUCUCUCUCGCCAUGCUCGUCCGAAUUUAUAAAGCAAUUUUCUUAUUAAAUUACUUAGAAUAAAUAAGACAACAGUAUAAUAUAGAUUUAGUUGCUCGCAGUAACUUCAACGUAACAAAGGAGUAGAUACAAUUUGAAUCAAAUGCCAAGAUGGCUUACUUAAAAUCAUUUUAUCACCUUCAAAAAUCAAAGAAGGAAAUUCAUCUAAACAUGAAUUAAACUAAAUUUAUAACAUGAUUCCAUUUUAUUGAAUAAAUAUUAGAUUCCAAAAAGGGCACAGUAUUUCCUUGUUGAAUAAGGCCACCAACAUAAAACGAAAUAAUAGUUGGCGUGACUUUUGAAUGCUUUAGCCCAUAUGAAACACAUCACAAUCGUUUCUCAAAUAACUGCAGUAUUUCAUAAUAGUAUAGUACGAACAUUUGAUGACUUGAUAUUACACGGCAAACCAUCAUUCACACUGACAAAUAUUGGAUUAUUAGCAAAACUUUCAAACUAUUUCGGUUGAGACUAACAAAGAAAAAUAAAAGGAAUUGAAAUGAAAUGAAAAACAACAAACAUUGAUAUUUCUAUAUACAUACUAACAACAUUCCAUGUCUCCGUGCGCAACCAAAUACAUUGCACGAUUCCUAUACAUAACUACAAUUCAAACCAAAUGUCAAGUCAUCUUGCGUGACAAAAACCACCACAGUGUGCGAAGAACAUUUUUUUAAAGAAUAUUUGAUUGAUACAGGCAUAUAUCCAAAUCCAAAAUACCAUGAACCCAUUUUACAAGUGCUCUAACAUAUAUAUAAAUACUAUAACUAUAACACAGGGAAAAAAGUUCCAACGAAAAGAAUAUUUCGAAGGCAACGUUCAGUAUCAACGAAUUUUUGCAAAUAUAACGAAAACGAGACCACAGUGACUGGUUGCAUGUGGGUAAAUAACUAUGCAUUUCAUUAAGUGUACAUGAGGGAGUGAGUACUUUAUCAGUGUAAAUAAAGACAUGCAUUAAACCGAGUACGUUAUAAGUGUACAUUACAUAAUCUGAAAACUUAUUUGUGCUAGUAUACAAGGGGAUAAUCGCCACAACUGUAUGCAUUCUAGUUCUAUGUUAGCUUUCUGAUUUUAUAUAUUACUAUGUCAUGUUUUAUUUCAUCUUGUAUUUUGCUUUCGUCUUUAUGAUGUGUAAAAUUAUAAUUGGCGAUUAUUGUCGUCGCAUAUUUUGACUUGUUUCUUUUUCAUGUAUAUAGGAUUACAUUAAAGAUCUUUAUUCUUUUUUUACGCCUUAAAACAAAUGUCAAAAUGAAGAAUAGUACCAAGGCGAAUGUAAAGGGUUGUGUCUCAUAAUGUCAGACAGCGACGAAUUAAGUUCAACUUACUACUCUAACGUACCGAAACGUCAAUCUGAUCUGUCUGAUUUACAAGUGAUAUCCUUAAGGUUUCGAACCACAUUACACUUGUAAGAACAAGGAUGAAAAACAAUGAGUUAAUUGUAGCUACAUGUAUGAGGAUCAAUCUAAUCAUUUCUGAGAAAAUACUUUUAUUGUAAAUAUUGGGAAAACGGAAAAUACCAUAUUUGUAUUGCAUAAAACAUAAUUAGAUGAAAUGAAAUUGACUCCGAGUUGCUGAAUGAAGUGAUCUGCAAUUUCGUAUAUUUACAUAUUGCAUUUCGAAAUAUCUUAAUUUAAAAAAACGAGAUAAAAACUUAAUGAAUGUUAGAUUCGGGUUAAGCAAUCACAAUCUCAUCAUAGAGAUCGAUCGAUAUAGAAGAAAAACUAACGAUCAUUACAAGUGGAAAGAUAGUUUUAAAAAUCUAGAACUGUUCUGUUGUUAGUCCAUUACCUAUAGUAAUACACUAUACAUGUAUAUAAAGGAUAUCAGAACAUCUUUUUUGUUGAUAUCAUGGGAAAGGGUUAUGAGCACUAAGGCUCUAUCCUCAAGAUUUUAAAUCCUUUAUUUCAAGAGGAAAAGUGUUUUAAACAUAUGAGAAAGUGAAAUGGAGUGAUUUUUGUUGAGCUUUAUUGUGCAGAGUUGAUAUUUACACCUCUGCUGUGUAUCAGCAUAUUCAUAUUCAGAAAAAAUCACAGUUAUCUCUCUUUAUACAACAAAUCAUCGCACUCAGUAUAUGAACUGUUUAAAAAGACAUGUACACAUGUUUGAAUCUGCAGUGUUAUUAUUUUUUUCAUGAUUAAUUGUAUGUAAUUAACUCUGUCAUUAGGAUCAAUAAAGUUAUUUUGUUAUAGUUAA